This 484-nucleotide ribosomal RNA is filed under the name uncultured bacterium. RNAcentral's name for it is "partial 16S ribosomal RNA". It matches the Rfam family "Bacterial small subunit ribosomal RNA", at positions 30 to 507 of the family's 1533-position model. The record is from RNAcentral.
AUUGAACGCUGGCGGCAGGCCUAACACAUGCAAGUCGAGCGGAUGAAGGGAGCUUGCUCCUGGAUUCAGCGGCGGACGGGUGAGUAAUGCCUAGGAAUCUGCCUGGUAGUGGGGGAUAACGUCCGGAAACGGGCGCUAAUACCGCAUACGUCCUGAGGGAGAAAGUGGGGGAUCUUCGGACCUCACGCUAUCAGAUGAGCCUAGGUCGGAUUAGCUAGUCGGUGGGGUAAAGGCCUACCAAGGCGACGAUCCGUAACUGGUCCGAGAGGAUGAUCAGUCACACUGGAACUGAGACACGGUCCAGACUCCUACGGGAGGCAGCAGUGGGGAAUAUUGGACAAUGGGCGAAAGCCUGAUCCAGCCAUGCCGCGUGUGUGAAGAAGGUCUUCGGAUUGUAAAGCACUUUAAGUUGGGAGGAAGGGCAGUAAGUUAAUACCUUGCUGUUUUGACGUUACCAACAGAAUAAGCACCGGCUAACUUCGUG